This 625-nucleotide ribosomal RNA is filed under the name uncultured bacterium. RNAcentral describes it as "bacterial SSU rRNA". It matches the Rfam family "Bacterial small subunit ribosomal RNA", at positions 95 to 719 of the family's 1533-position model. The record is from RNAcentral.
GUGGCGCACGGGUGCGUAACACGUAUGCAACCUACCUUAUACUGGGGGAUAGCCUUUGGAAACGGAGAUUAAUACCCCAUAGUACAUUUGAUUGGCAUCAAUUAAAUGUUAAAGAUUUAUCGGUAUAAGCUGGGCAUGCGUCCAAUUAGUUAGUUGGUGAGGUAAUGGCUCACCAAGACUUUGAUUGGUAGGGGAACUGAGAGGUUAAUCCCCCACACUGGCACUGAGAUACGGGCCAGACUCCUACGGGAGGCAGCAGUAGGGAAUAUUGGGCAAUGGAGGCAACUCUGACCCAGCCAUGCCGCGUGCAGGAAGAAGGCGUUAUGCGUUGUAAACUGCUUUUAUAUAGGAAGAAAUAGUCCUUGCGAGGAAAGUUGACGGUACUAUAUGAAUAAGCACCGGCUAACUCCGUGCCAGCAGCCGCGGUAAUACGGAGGGUGCAAGCGUUGUCCGGAUUUAUUGGGUUUAAAGGGUGCGUAGGCGGUUUAUUAAGUCAGUGGUGAAAGACGGUCGCUCAACGAUUGCAGUGCCAUUGAUACUGGUAGACUUGAGUGGGAUUGAGGUAGCUGGAAUGGAUAGUGUAGCGGUGAAAUGCAUAGAUAUUAUCCAGAACACCAAUUGCGUA